GGAGGGAUGGCAGAGCGGACGAUUGCGACGGUCUUGAAAACCGUUGGGCCCUCGCGGGUCCCGGGGGUUCGAAUCCCCCUCCCUCCG
Molecule: transfer RNA, 87 nt
Filed under: Actinomyces sp.
Lineage: Bacteria; Bacillati; Actinomycetota; Actinomycetes; Actinomycetales; Actinomycetaceae
Description: tRNA-Ser
Rfam family: tRNA
About the family: Transfer RNA (tRNA) molecules are approximately 80 nucleotides in length.
Source: RNAcentral